GCCUUUUGUUCUUUAAAGGUAUGUUCUGCUCAGUGAUUUUAAACAGCCGCGGUAAUUUGACCGUGCAAAGGUAGCAUAAUCAUUUGCCUUAUAAUUGGGGGCUGGAAUGAAAGAAUAAACAAGAGUUAAGCUUUAUCUUUUGGAGAAUCAGAAAUUUCUUUCUUAGUGAAGAAGCUAAGAUAAAAAAGGGGACAAGAAGACCCUUUUGAGCUUUAUUAUUUUUCUUUUUAUGAAAAAUUAAUUUGGUUGGGGCGACCGGGGAAUAUCUUCCCUAUUUAUUAUGAUCCACGGUUUGUGAUUAAAAGAAUAAGUUACCAAAGGGAUAACAGCGUAAUUUUUUUUGAGAGUUCUUAUUAAAAAAAAAGAUUGCGACCUCGAUGUUGACUUAUAUUUUCCUUUCGGUGUAGCAGCUGAAAUGGUGGGUCUGUUCGACCUUUAAAAUUUU
RNAcentral lists this ribosomal RNA (445 nucleotides) under Ototyphlonemertes fila. RNAcentral's name for it is "partial 16S ribosomal RNA". It matches the Rfam family "Bacterial large subunit ribosomal RNA", at positions 1881 to 2597 of the family's 2925-position model. Lineage: Eukaryota; Metazoa; Nemertea; Enopla; Monostilifera; Ototyphlonemertidae. The record is from RNAcentral.